AUAGGUUGAAAAUCACCCAUGGCUUUGGCCUUUGCAGUCGGAGAGAUUCAGAGCUCAGGAUGUCAGCUGGGUCACACCCACUGCCCAUUUUCUUUAACAGGGUAAUGAGACCUAGCACCAUAUGU
Molecule: small nucleolar RNA, 125 nt
Filed under: Sorex araneus (European shrew)
Lineage: Eukaryota; Metazoa; Chordata; Mammalia; Eulipotyphla; Soricidae
Description: Small nucleolar RNA ACA64 (ENSSARG00000019627.1)
Source: RNAcentral